This 664-nucleotide ribosomal RNA is filed under the name uncultured bacterium. RNAcentral's name for it is "bacterial SSU rRNA". It matches the Rfam family "Bacterial small subunit ribosomal RNA", at positions 1 to 667 of the family's 1533-position model. The record is from RNAcentral.
UAGAGUUUGAUCAUGGCUCAGGAUGAACGCUAGCGGCAGGCCUAACACAUGCAAGUCGAGGGGUAACGUGAGUGCUUGCACUUGACGACGACCGGCGCACGGGUGCGGAACGCGUAUGGAACCUACCUUUAUCAGGGGGAUAGCCCAUGGAAACGUGGAUUAAUACCCCAUAGUAUUAUUUUAUUGCAUGAUAGAAUAAUUAAAGAAUUUCGGAUAGAGAUGGCCAUGCGUAUCAUUAGCUAGUAGGCGAGGUAACGGCUCACCUAGGCGACGAUGAUUAGGGGUCCUGAGAGGGAGAUCCCCCACACUGGUACUGAGACACGGACCAGACUCCUACGGGAGGCAGCAGUGAGGAAUAUUGGGCAAUGGAGGCAACUCUGACCCAGCCAUGCCGCGUGCAGGAAGACGGCCCUAUGGGUUGUAAACUGCUUUUAUACAGGAAGAACACCACCCACGUGUGGGUGACUGACGGUACUGUAAGAAUAAGGACCGGCUAACUCCGUGCCAGCAGCCGCGGUAAUACGGAGGGUCCAAGCGUUAUCCGGAAUCAUUGGGUUUAAAGGGUCCGUAGGCGGGCUAAUAAGUCAGAGGUGAAAGUUUGCAGCUCAACUGUAAAAUUGCCUUUGAUACUGUUAGUCUUGAGUUAUAGUGAAGUGGUUAGAAU